Molecule: transfer RNA, 46 nt
Filed under: Hymenodon sphaerothecius
Lineage: Eukaryota; Viridiplantae; Streptophyta; Bryopsida; Orthodontiales; Orthodontiaceae
Description: partial tRNA-Phe
Rfam family: tRNA
About the family: Transfer RNA (tRNA) molecules are approximately 80 nucleotides in length.
Source: RNAcentral
GCUGGAAUAGCUCAGUUGGUAGAGCAGAGGACUGAAAAUCCUCGUU